Molecule: ribosomal RNA, 443 nt
Filed under: uncultured bacterium
Lineage: Bacteria
Description: partial 16S ribosomal RNA
Rfam family: Bacterial small subunit ribosomal RNA
Source: RNAcentral
CCUACGGGUGGCAGCAGUGGGGAAUAUUGGGCACUGGAGGCAACUCUGACCCAGCAACGCAGCGUGAAGGAUGACGGUCUUCGGAUUGUAAAGCUCUGUGAUGGGGGAUGAACACAAUGCCGGUACCCCGAUAGCAAGCCACGGCUCACUACGUGCCAGCAGCCGCGGUAAUGCGUGGGUGGCAAGUGUUAACCGGAAUGACUGGGUGUAAAGGGUGCGUAGGUGGUUUUGUAUGUUGGCUGUGUAAUUCAGGGGCUCAACCUCGGCACUACCGCCGAAACUGUUAGGCUAGAGUGCAGGAGGGGUAAGUGGAAUUCCUGGUGUAGCGGUGAAAUGCUUAGAUAUUAGGAAGAACAUCAGGGGCGAAGGCGACAUACUGGACUGUAACUGACACUGAGGCACGAAAGCGUGGGUAGCAAACAGGAUUAGAUACCCUGGUAGUC